RNAcentral lists this ribosomal RNA (450 nucleotides) under uncultured bacterium. RNAcentral describes it as "bacterial SSU rRNA". It matches the Rfam family "Bacterial small subunit ribosomal RNA", at positions 354 to 796 of the family's 1533-position model. The record is from RNAcentral.
GUGGGGAAUAUUGGACAAUGGGCGAAAGCCUGAUCCAGCCAUGCCGCGUGUGUGAAGAAGGUCUUCGGAUUCUAAAGCACUUUAAGUUGGGAGGAAGGGCAGUAAGUUAAUACCUUGCUGUUUUGACGUUACCGACAGAAUAAGCACCGGCUAACUCUGUGCCAGCAGCCGCGGUAAUACAGAGGGUGCAAGCGUUAAUCGGAAUUACUGGGCGUAAAGCGCGCGUAGGUGGUUCGUUAAGUUGGAUGUGAAAGCCCCGGGCUCAACCUGGGAACUGCAUCCAAAACUGGCGAGCUAGAGUACGGUAGAGGGUGGUGGAAUUUCCUGUGUAGCGGUGAAAUGCGUAGAUAUAGGAAGGAACACCAGUGGCGAAGGCGACCACCUGGACUGAUACUGACACUGAGGUGCGAAAGCGUGGGGAGCAAACAGGAUUAGAUACCCCUGUAGUCC